CCUACGGGAGGCAGCAGUGGGGAAUAUUGCACAAUGGGGGAAACCCUGAUGCAGCGACGCCGCGUGGAGGAAGAAGGUCUUCGGAUUGUAAACUCCUGUUGUUGGGGAAAAAGAGGAUGGUACCCAACAAGGAAGUGACGGCUAACUACGUGCCAGCAGCCGCGGUAAAACGUAGGUCACAAGCGUUGUCCGGAAUUACUGGGUGUAAAGGGAGCGCAGGCGGGUAUGCAAGUUGGGAGUGAAAUACAUGGGCUCAACCCAUGAACUGCUCUCAAAACUGUGUAUCUUGAGUAGUGCAGAGGUAGGCGGAAUUCCCGGUGUAGCGGUGGAAUGCGUAGAUAUCGGGAGGAACACCAGUGGCGAAGGCGGCCUACUGGGCACCAACUGACGCUGAGGCUCGAAAGUGUGGGUAGCAAACAGGAUUAGAUACCCUUGUAGUC
RNAcentral lists this ribosomal RNA (440 nucleotides) under uncultured bacterium. RNAcentral's name for it is "bacterial SSU rRNA". It matches the Rfam family "Bacterial small subunit ribosomal RNA", at positions 338 to 795 of the family's 1533-position model. The record is from RNAcentral.